CUCUAAAAAAUAAACAAAACCAUAACAUUCAAAGAUUAUUGAGACAGUAUCUGAUCGCCUACAAUAAUUUUCAAUACGUUAUCUCAUCGCCAUUCGCCAGUCCAAAUAUUAUGAUCUGUCAAAGUAUGAAGUGUCAAAGUGUGUUUUUUAACAACGUGUACUGCCUUACUGGGCAGUAGUCACCGGUGACUAGGGAAAUGUUUAUGAUGUGGAGAAGCCGUCGACUGUUGAACGUGUUAUUUAAAAUCAGUUAUUACGUAUUAUAAUUAUUAGCGAUUUGGAUCUUUUUCAUGACAAAAUAAAAAGGUAUGUCAGCAACUUUGUGAUACGCAGGAAAUUGCUGCCGGCUUGCUUUUUAUCAAUACAUUUAUUACCAUUCAUGAAACUAUUAGAAUUUCCAUUUAUCGCUUUACCGGUCAUGGCUUCAUUUGCUAAUCGCUGUGUUCCAGUUCGUAUUUGCUCUCGCGUGACAAUUGAUAAAAUAGUCUACUUAGACGUCAACAGUUUGCAAAAUUCUGCUAAAGAGCUUAAGUAUAGAAUGACUAAGAACACUAAUAAGAUUAAUUACAUUAGCUGUGCGCAAGUGUGCGCUGUGUGUGCAUGAAUCGAAAUAUUCGAGUGAAAGUUCAAAAGUUCUGAAUAAAUUAUUUGCUAGAAUUUUCAAGCUUCAUUUAGACAUGCAUUUUGUCCAAUUCAUUGUAUCUAUAUCAUGUGAGCCUAAUAACUGAAGAAGUUUUUCAGAAAAACAGUUACAUAACCAGUUACAUAUUGUCCACUAUGCUCCUCAAUGCUGUCAUAUGGUUCUUCAAUAUCUACCUAAAAUACAUAUUGUCCUGUGGAAUGGUUCUGCAGUGCAUGCUUUUAAUUGAGGACACUUUAAACACCUGGAAUUUAAUAUCUGGACAGAAAUUAACUGAAAUUUUGAAAUCAUGAAAAAUCUGGACUGUACUAAAUUGGACUAUAAUAAUUUGGGAUUGAACCAUCUGCCUUUGAGUACUGUAGUUAGUUUAAUAAUGACCUUAAAUGCAGCUCUCAAAGGCUAUUGGUUCUGUCCUAUUUGUAUAACAGACAAAAAAAACAAACAACACAUCUUAAAAACAAAAUUGGAAACGACGAGAUGCCUUACACUCUAUGAUUGGUAGAGAUGACGUACGUGGAAGCUCAGUGUCACAUAUGAAGUCGACAUUCAAAGCUGAAGUUCUGGUGUUGGCAGACUUUAGUCCUCACACCAAAAUGGUAAACAAACGUGUGUAUAAUAAAUAAUAAUACAAUAAUUCAAUGGUUUCUAUCAAUUCCCUUGGAAGCUUAUUGAACCAAAUAACAAGAUUAUUUACAAAUUGAUUGAGUAUUAUAAAAAUAAUUUUAAAUAAUUUGAAUAAACAUUUUGUAAAUAG
This is a long non-coding RNA of Aphis gossypii (cotton aphid), 1394 nucleotides long. RefSeq lists it as uncharacterized. The record is from RefSeq and is a predicted model, not a curated record. The transcript is spliced from 4 exons. NCBI's taxonomy places the organism in Eukaryota, Metazoa, Arthropoda, Insecta, Hemiptera, Aphididae.